CAGUAGCCACGGUAAUACAGAGGGUGCGAGCGUUAAUCGGAUUUACUGGGCGUAAAGCGUGCGUAGGCGGCUUCUUAAGUCGGAUGUGAAAUCCCUGAGCUUAACUUAGGAAUUGCAUUCGAUACUGGGAAGCUAGAGUAUGGGAGAGGAUGGUAGAAUUCCAGGUGUAGCGGUGAAAUGCGUAGAGAUCUGGAGGAAUACCGAUUGCGAAGGCAGCCAUCUGGCCUAAUACUGACGCUGAGGUACGAAAGCAUGGGGAGCAAACAGGAUUAGAUACCCCUGUAGUCCCUGUCUCUUAUAC
This 301-nucleotide ribosomal RNA is filed under the name uncultured bacterium. RNAcentral describes it as "partial 16S ribosomal RNA". It matches the Rfam family "Bacterial small subunit ribosomal RNA", at positions 509 to 807 of the family's 1533-position model. The record is from RNAcentral.